CUUUGUCUCUGCAGAGGUGGGUUCCAGUCGCCGGCUGCGGGAGUGCGGGGUCCGCAGCGGCCUCCGCUUCCGCCCGGCGCCCAACUUGGCCCCAUGGCCGCUUCGCUCGGGCCGCGCCGCUGCCGCCCCCGGAGCCGGUGGGGAGCCGUGCGGGCGGGAGAGCCCGGAAGGAGCCCCGGGCUCCCAGGCCCCCGCCGGCGCCGACAGCGCCGGCCAGGAGCAGCCGGCCUGCUCCGGGUGACCGCCGCCGCCGCGCGGUCCCGGCACGAGCGGGUCCCUGCCUCCCGGAGCGCGCGUAGACCGGCAGCGCCUAAUGGAUUACAGCAGCCGCCCGGCCGACCGCCGCCUCCAGCUCGGCCGCCUCCGGGUUCGGGACCAUGAGACACCGCCGCUUGCGCUGGCCCUGGCCCAGGGCAGCUGGA
This 422-nucleotide long non-coding RNA is filed under the name Equus asinus (donkey). RNAcentral describes it as "lncRNA (ENSEASG00005025312.1)". Lineage: Eukaryota; Metazoa; Chordata; Mammalia; Perissodactyla; Equidae. The record is from RNAcentral.